GUUGCUUUUUGGCCUUUUGGCUAAGAUCAAGGGUCAUAUCUGUUCUUAUCAGUUUAACAUUAGCUAUUAUUAUAUCUAUGGGCUUAGAAAUCUGGGGCCACUGAGUUCCAUCCCUGGUACCCCCAAAAAAAGAGGUUUGGGGCCAUUAUUUAUUCAUUUAUUUUUUUCUGUCUGGAGCGCCCCUAAUUACACAAGUAUUAAACUUCU
This is a small nuclear RNA of Heterocephalus glaber (naked mole-rat), 207 nucleotides long. Its record names the gene U2. It matches the Rfam family "U2 spliceosomal RNA". From Rfam's summary of the family: U2 is a small nuclear RNA (snRNA) component of the spliceosome (involved in pre-mRNA splicing). Complementary binding between U2 snRNA (in an area lying towards the 5' end but 3' to hairpin I) and the branchpoint sequence (BPS) of the intron results the bulging out of an unpaired adenosine, on the BPS, which initiates a nucleophilic attack at the intronic 5' splice site, thus starting the first of two transesterification reactions that mediate splicing. Lineage: Eukaryota; Metazoa; Chordata; Mammalia; Rodentia; Bathyergidae. The record is from Ensembl.